RNAcentral lists this ribosomal RNA (448 nucleotides) under uncultured bacterium. RNAcentral describes it as "bacterial SSU rRNA". It matches the Rfam family "Bacterial small subunit ribosomal RNA", at positions 331 to 793 of the family's 1533-position model. The record is from RNAcentral.
CCAGACUCCUACGGGAGGCAGCAGUGGGGGAUAUUGGACAAUGGGGGGAACCCUGAUCCAGCGACGCCGCGUGAGUGAAGAAGUAUCUCGGUAUGUAAAGCUCUAUCAGCAGGGAAGAAAGAAAUGACGGUACCUGAGUAAGAAGCCCCGGCUAACUACGUGCCAGCAGCCGCGGUAAUACGUAGGGGGCAAGCGUUAUCCGGAUUUACUGGGUGUAAAGGGAGCGUAGACGGCGAUGCAAGUCUGAAGUGAAAGGCGGGGGCCCAACCCCUGGACUGCUUUGGAAACUGUAUGGCUGGAGUGCAGGAGAGGUAAGCGGAAUUCCUGGUGUAGCGGUGAAAUGCGUAUAUAUCAGGAGGAACACCGGCGGCGAAGGCGGCUUACUGGACUGUAACUGACGUUGAGGCUCGAAGGCGUGGGGCGCACACAGGAUUAGAUACCCGCGUAC